This 859-nucleotide ribosomal RNA is filed under the name Parathyridaria philadelphi. Its description in RNAcentral is "partial 28S ribosomal RNA". It matches the Rfam family "Eukaryotic large subunit ribosomal RNA", at positions 68 to 942 of the family's 3401-position model. Lineage: Eukaryota; Fungi; Ascomycota; Dothideomycetes; Pleosporales; Thyridariaceae. The record is from RNAcentral.
ACAGGGAUUGCCCCAGUAACGGCGAGUGAAGCGGCAAUAGCUCAAAUUUGAAAUCUGGCCCUUUCAGGGUCCGAGUUGUAAUUUGCAGAGGGUGCUUUGGCGUCGGCCGUGGUCUAAGUUCCUUGGAACAGGACGUCACAGAGGGUGAGAAUCCCGUACGUGGCCGCCGGUCUUCGCCGUGUAAAGCCCCUUCGACGAGUCGAGUUGUUUGGGAAUGCAGCUCUAAAUGGGAGAUAAAUUUCUUCUAAAGCUAAAUAUUGGCCAGAGACCGAUAGCGCACAAGUAGAGUGAUCGAAAGAUGAAAAGCACUUUGGAAAGAGAGUCAAAAAGCACGUGAAAUUGUUGAAAGGGAAGCGCUUGCAGCCAGACGUGCCCGCAGUUGCUCACCCGGGCUCUCGCCCGGGGCACUCUUCUGCGGGCAGGCCAGCAUCAGUUCGGGCGGUUGGAUAAAGGCCUCUGUCACGUACCACCCCCUCGGGGGCGGCCUUAUAGGGGAGGCGCAACACGACCAGCCCGAACUGAGGACCGCGCAUUAUGCUAGGAUGCUGGCGUAAUGGCUGUAAGCGGCCCGUCUUGAAACACGGACCAAGGAGUCUAACAUCUAUGCGAGUGUUUGGGUGUCAAGCCCGGACGCGCAAUGAAAGUGAACGGAGGUGGGAACCCUUACGGGCGCACCAUCGACCGAUCCUGAAGUCUUCGGAUGGAUUUGAGUAAGAGCAUAGCUGUUGGGACCCGAAAGAUGGUGAACUAUGCCUGAAUAGGGUGAAGCCAGGGGAAACCCUGGUGGAGGCUCGCAGCGGUUCUGACGUGCAAAUCGAUCGUCAAAUUUGGGCAUAGGGGCGAAAGACUAAUCGAACCA